ACGUAAACUCGACUGCUCACCCCAGGAAUCCUGGUCCAGUUUCUCUCUCGAUUUCUCUCGAUCGAUCGAUGCCGAUUUCGCCAUCCGAAUCGCGCGGAUCGCUGCUCGAUCUUCGGUUCCAUGGCGGCUCCGCAGCAGCUCGGAGCAGCUGGUUUGUGAAGAUCGAGGCGGAUCGGCCCGGCUGAGGUUUGCUGGUCGUGGAAUACGUGUGAGGACGAGUUCAGGCUCGAUCGCGUCGAUUCCAUGGCGGGCGAUCUCGCUUCUCCUCGGUGGCCGCUGCGACGCCCGGAGCGAUCUCCUGCCAUGCUGCUUCGCGGCGGUCGGUUCACGAUGUCGCCGGAGCCGUGUCCGGUGGAAAGUAGCGUGUGGCGAGGUCAGCCUAGGGUUUUGUUGAGCAUCGAUAGGGCUCUUCAGAGGCUGAAAUGAAGUUGCUUGUCUGUGUUGUGACGCGUUGGAAUCGUUGCCGAGGUUGUGGUGAUGUUUGUUGAGACGCGGAUGUAUGAGAGAGGUCGGGGACGAGAGCUGCUCUCCUGACUUUUCGAGGGGGGUGCUGAGUCUCCGAUCGUUCUUUUGUCAUCCAGGCCUUUGCCAUGACGGGUGCGCUUGCAUGGCGGGUCGAAAUGUCAAUAAAAGAUCACUUUUUUGGGGGGUUUUCGAGGGGGAGAUCGCACGGGGGUUUCCCGGGUUCUCCUCUCUCGUGUGCGUUUCUCUUUCUUCUUCCUGUGCGUUCGCUGAGCCCGAUUUGCCCUUCUUCACUAUCUCUCUGCGAUGGCCCCAAAGUUUCAUCCGAAGACUCCGAAACUUCAUCAGCAGGCAAAGCGUUUAUCCUCUAUUCCACACUGCGGAAGGUGAUGCUCUAAUUCGAGGUACUAAAAUCAUCUUAGGCAUUGAGUUCAAAUUUGAAUUGUGCAAAGCAUAAUGCAAGUUUCAGACCUCGCGUAACUCAUACAACUAAUGCCAUAUAUACUUGGGAUAUGGGAACCGUAUUAGCGUGAAUUUUAAUGACGGUUUACUGUCUUUGGAGAUACUAUGAAAAAUUCUAGACUUUUCAAGAAAAGUCCAGGACCAUUGGAAGGCCAGACAACUAUAAGAGCUACCACCACGUUCUGAUAAAAGGUCAAACAUAUGUGCUCAGUGCAAUGCGGAAGUAGUAUGUUCACCGAUAAUUGAUUCAGUGAGGUUCAUGAAUAGUCAAGUUUGCUCAGUAGGGCUCUCGUCAUACCAGAAUUGGCAUAAUUGUUCUCAUUUUAUGAGGAAAAAAAGAAAAGAGCAAAUAACAUUUGUUGUAUCGCAUUUUGUUAUCUUGCUUGAAUCAUAGCUGCAUCAAUAGUAUCAUGAAUUAGUCUUUUUUGAUUUAUGUAUACCUCUAUUGAAUUCAGUAUUAUGUUGAUAACAUGGCAGCAAUCAAAUAGGAUUGACAUUAUGAUUAUUAAUUACUGGUAAGUGCUAUCUGAUUUUUGCGCCUCGGUGAUUCGGUUUCUGCAUCGACCUUGCCUAACCUCUGAGGAUACAUCAAACUGCAAUAUCUCACAUUGUUAAUUGGUUGGUGAUCUUGUACCUUUGAUCGAGCAACACCAAUUAUUGUUUCGUGCUUUGAGUUAUUCCUAGUUUAGUUCUGUAAGCUUGGCCCCUGCAUGCAAAGUACGUUUUUUUAGCAGUCAUGUAAUCAUCUAUAGCAGAUGUACUGGUUCUCUAUGGGUGAUGAAGACCAUGGUGUUUGUAUUGUCUUGGUUUCCUUGGCAAGUAGCCGAUGCACCAGAGCUUUGAAAGCAAAUUUGUUACCGGGUAUUGGACAUAGGCAAUCUCCUUGAAGUGGGGAAAUGGACGGCUAGAUUCUCCCUGCUGCUGAUUGCAUGAAGAAUGAGGAGGCGGAAGUACCCCCUGCUGCUGGCUGGCUGUCAGUGCAAUCACCAUUAUGGUGGCAAAACCGGAUGUCAUCCAAAUGCUGAAUUAUCCCUUGCCGCUGGAUGACUCUGACUAUGUAUGACUUUAUGCUGCCAGACUUUGAAGACUGAUAACAAUUUACUUUGAGUUGUACGUUGGAAAUGGUCAUGCUAAUUUUCUAUGUUGCGAUUUGCACAACUGAUUGGUGGCUUCUAAGUAGUAAACAUUCUCCUAAUGUUAUCCUUUGUUAUAGUUUGUCGUCUGAAGGGAGUUUUUUUUUUUUUUCUUAUCUUUUUAUGAGACACGGUUUGUUCUAGUCAGAGUUUUUCGUUAAUGAUUUGCUAUUUUAGAUGGAUAAAUCCUUGGAAAACUAUAUGCCUCUUCUUUUAUAAUGUUUUUCCCUUUUUGAUUUAUUUUCAUUUGUGUUAAAUGCUACUAUUACAUGGUUUAGUAUCACUUCUCUGUCUCUUCUUUUCAUUUGAUGUCAAAUGUUUUUCUGUUACCAUUUGAAUGGUUUGGAUUGUUUGUUCUAUUUUUGUAUUUGCAAUGUUAAUCUGAUUAGCGAAAGACCUCAAGUCAUUUAGCACCUUGUUGAUGCUUUAAUUGUUAUAUGCUUUGAUGUACCAAGGUACUCGUUGUGUUGGAGGCAUUGUUGCCCUAUGGUCGAGUAAUCUGAUGAAGAGGGAGGAUGAUAAUUUUUGGCUCCUUAACCUGGAUCUCUUGCCUAUUUCUUUUUGGGCGGCGAAAUUGAAAAUGGGUACUGGGUAGACCUUCCAUCUGUUUAAUGGAGUGUUGGCAGUGCAGUUUAUUGCCAUAUUUCUCCUGAACCUGAGGGCAUGUUUGGUGUGAGAUGGUCUGUUUUCUGAUUCAUCUCUAUUUGAGGAUGAUUUUCACUGAUUAUCACCCCAAAUAUCAAUAAUAAAAUGAAGAUAUGCAUCUUAAUUCUGGACACAUCAAAUUGAAACAUGCUCUGGAAAUUAUUAUUCGUGCAAAAAAAAAAAAAAAAAGUAUUUGUUUCCACCAAUUAAACUUGUUUCAAAUUAUUAGGGAAAACUUAUAAAUAUGCUGUCUGUUUUCAUUUGCACUGAGGACGAAAAACGAAGACAGUUUCACAAACUGAAUGGUCUUUUGGUUUUGUUGUGUAAAAUAAAUUAACACUAGUACUGAUCUCACUUGACGUCAUUGUUGUUUCAUCACGGAUAUGAAGUAUCAAUCAAUCAUUGUUGUUAUCUUGGUCGGGAGCCCUCUGCAAUUCUGGAAGGUGGUUGAAUGAUGAAGAUGAGUUAGGACAUUCCAGCAGUGAAGCCAUGGGCACUGGGCAGCAUUGUUAUGAAGCACCUGGAUUUUGUCCAUUGGUUGUGGCUCUUUGAUGUUUGCAGAUGUGCAUUAUUCAGUUCAUGAAGGUAUCAAUACCUCAGUUUUAGAUCAAGUCCUUUUUUAUACUUGUAAAAAGAAAAAAUGUCUAUGAUUUGGUCGUUUCAUUUUGUGUUUGGGGGAGUGAUACUGGUGGUACUGUGGCUGUGAUCAUGAUCCGGGCUUGUCCUGAGCAGGUUGUCACUCUGCAAAGCCAUGGAGCAAGGGGUGUAAGCCUGGACUACAGUGGUAAAUUCACUGUCUGUUUGUUUUGGUUCAUGUGCUUCUGAGAUGUUGGGGUUGCUUGGAUUGUAGGUUAUGCCUAAUUGUCAUGCACAUCUGUGCCGUAUGAAGUGCUUCCUUCCGAUGUUCUUAUGAGUGAUCUUGAAAGCCCUGAUUCUCUUUGCUGUGUUUUCCUCUUUGCGACUUCCCCACAUGAUUCAGUUUGCGCCUGUUGUAUUUGGAAUGACUUUACCUCUUUGCUUUCUGGAGUUGCAAAUUAGAUCUCUCUACUUACUUGCAAUCAGAUUUCUAUAAUUCUAUCUACCUUUUAGCUUUAUGCUUCCUUUUUUUGUUUCCACUGUUUAACAGUAAGAAAUUUGACAUCUACGUAAUGUAGCUCGGCUCAAUAUUGUUUUUGACGACAUAGAUAUUGUCAUGUAAAGUCGCUAGAACUUUUUCAUUACACAGGAAAUCCUAUUGCGGCUUUCCAAAGAACAUCUUGUGCUAGAACCAGAUCUCCUAGUUUCAUGAUCUCGCAUUUGUUGAUGUUUCUAUUGGUUAAAAGGGUUCUGAUGUGGAAACAUGUGCUCAAUAAAGAUUGUGAAGACUGAAUGUGCCAGCUACUGUAAAUAGAUCCCAUGUGGUCGAAAUCGUGCAUUGCAUAAUUUUUUUGUUGAUUUUUCUCGCAUAAACUAGCUGUCAUUAGUGUAACUCAAAAUUUGGGGAGUAUCUUGCCUAGUUUGUGCCUUUUGUAGUUCACUUUUGAUAAUAGGAAUAAUGUUGCGGAUUGCUAAUCUUGCAUGGCAUCGGACAAUGGGAAAGUUUGUGUAGAAUUAUUAUUUUUUUUUUUUUUUUUGGGGUACUUUGCGGAGGACAGAUGACUUUUGGUAACUUUUUUUUGAGUUGUUUACUAGUAUUCUUUUUCAGCUCUUCUUUCCUUCACUUUUCAUUGACUUCAAAGUUUCAGGUACUUGUUUUUCCUGCAAUCUCUUUGAUCGAUAGGAAUCGUGAAGCGAGAUAUUUAAACUUUGUAGAUAAGGAUUGAUGACUAUUUGUUAUCAAUUUAUAUUAGUUGUGAGCUUGCAGCUGGGACAGAAUUUGAGCGUCUCUCUGUACUUGAAAGAUCCGAAAGCUUAUAACGGGAGAGCGCUCAAACCUCAGCCGAGAGUUGAGGGUUUGAGAGGAUGGUGGUUCGAGUCCACCCGGAUCUGGAUUGUGUCAUGCUUAUAGCAAGUGACAGUGAUGAUGUGAUUUAACCGAUAAAUCGCGUCUUUUCGCAUGCUUUUUGAUGGGUGGAUCAGGAUUGUGUCAUGGUUAUAUCAGGUGAUGUCGUGACAGUGAUGGUAUGAUGUAAUUGAUCAUUCACCCCUUUUCGCAUGCUUUUGAUAUCAUUCCUAUCAAACGGUGCCUGAAUUGAUGUGUGGAACGUCACAUGAAAUGCCGCCUCCUACUCAGAUCCCGCUUAAUGAGUUAAUGCCCCAGGUUAGGCCCAUUAAAAUGGGCUUUACGCAUCCGAUUGGGAUACGGUUAUGAUCCAUUAGAGCUGGCCUGUCCAAAAUUAGUGUUUUGGAAUUUGUUUUUUUCGAUAUUUUCAAACUAUUAUCUGUAUCUCCUAAAAAAAUUAGUAUAUGUGUCUGACUUUUUUGGUUAAUGUUUUUUUUUUUUUCCCCGGGGGAUACAUAUAUUUUUGAAAAGAUUAACCUUUUCAAAUGGUGACCGACCAAAAAUUAUAAAAAUGAAAAAGUUGUGUUUUUUUUUUUUGGGUCAGAAAGACUAUUCAAAUGCUUAGUUAUCACGCAGGAAUCCUCGGGCAUCGGCAAACGCGGAACUAGACGACACCCAAGGUGAGAUUGGUGGGACCCGUCCGUUUAUUUAAAAAAAGGAAAAAACUAACAAUUUUUUUUCUAACCUUGCGUGUCGUAUUUUUCUUUUUGUAAAAUAAAUGGACGGGUCCCACCAAUGUACUCUUGCGUGUCGUCUAGUUCGGCGUUUCCCCGUGGCCGGAGGAUUCCUGCGUGAUAACCAAGCAUUUUAAUAGUCCACCCUGUAUCCAGCACCGCAGGAUCCUAAUCCACCGCCUCCCGAAUUCCACAAGACGACGGCCAGGAAGGCACCACGUGGCCUUUGGAUCCUCUGCCGACAGCGUCGUCAUCUCUAAUCCUGACCGUCCACCGCCCUCAGCUUCUCUUUAUAACCCGACUCGCCCUAGUUCUUUUUUUCUGUACUCCGCCUCCGAUGUACGAUCGUCCCUCUAGCCGCCGAUCCGCUCCGAUCCGCCUCUGAUGGUCUCCUUCCUUCCUAUCCGGCCAUGGCCGUUUCUUCCUGCGAUCAGAUCGCUCGGGGAUCGUCGCUUCCAUGGCGGUUUCGAUCGUGCGAAGCCUCGAGGGUUUGUAACCCUAGCUGAUUGAGCCGUGUUGGGGACGAAGGAAGCUGAAUCUGCAGGCCUUCGUAAUGAUCACCGGACUCUGGAGCUCAGCGGUGCUCGGUGAGGACGAUCUGGCGGCGGUCAUGGAGGAAAGAAGGGAGAAACUCCCCGAGUUUCGAUUGCUGGACGGAAUCAACGACUGUAAUCUAUGUAUUCGCUUGGGCUACGUGUUCGACGAUUUGUGAGUGAGGUACUGUCAGAUCGUGAUUUUGGGAGGAUGUAUGAGAUUAGAUCGGGACGAGAUCUGGCCUCCUUUGCUUCGGGGGGCCGACGAGUUGCCGAUCGAUCUUUUGUCAUCCCGGCCUUUGCCAUGAUGGGUGCGCUCGCAUGGCAGGUCAACGAAAGUCAAUGAAAAAAACACAGUUUUUCGGGGGUUUUCGAGGGGAGAUCGCACGGGGAUUUGCCUGGGAUCUCCUCUCUCUGCGUGUUGCUCUUGUUCUUGCGUUCUUUGUCCCUGCUAGCUCUCCGCUAUCUCUUUCGAUCGCAUCGCUCGCUCCAUCCAUUCAAAUUAGGAUCUGAAGGAGACACUCAACGCUUCGUCAACAUCUGCCUAAUAUCUGAUGAUGCAGAGAAAGGUAUGAGACAAGGGUUUAAAGGUUGAGCUGAAAGUUUAAUUUUUUCCAAUAUGCCGACAGUUACAUGGGCACAAUCACGUCGGAGCACGAUAUUUGUCUUCUAAUUGAAGUUAUAUUCCAGUUACAUGGCACAAUCACGUUUGAGCACGAUAUUUGUCUUCUAAUUGAAGUUAUAUUCCCUGAGUUGUGAGCAUCAUAAAUUCACAAUACCUAAGCGACCUUUGCUCGUGUUAUAUAAUAUUGUCUUAACAGCGAUAUCGAUCUUUUAAGUUGGAGCAUGCCCUCCAUCUUUUUCAUCACGAGAUGGGGAAAGAUCAAUUAACUGGGUAUGUGUUUCUGAAAAUCUGCAACCUCGCUUGUUAUUCUUCAGUAAUUCAAAUCAAUGGGUUUUUAUCUAUUCAAAUACUGGAAACGUUGUUCUGUUCAUACAAACAUGCUGCACACAGGAACGGAAAUCAUUUUAUGUUUGACUUACCACUUUCCAAUGUGAACGCUGCCUCAAUUAAUUGUCGCUCUCAGAAAACAUGACUGCUCGAUGCUGCGUCUCUUUUUUGGGUUGUCUUUUGCUGUACGGUGGUAUUGUCAAUUUUUCCAUUUGUGGUUGAUUACUCUCAGUUGAAUUGAGUUGACACCCUUCCCUUUAUCAAAGAGGGAAUGUUUUGUAAGGAUUACUGUAUCAGAAGUACUGUUCGUUGUAUAUGUUCCUCGGCCUAUGUGGUCAUCAAUGAUGCUGAGAGACUCGUGGAUGGAUUCUGGGUUAUGAUGAGCCAACUGGAUCUGCGAGCUUGUUGCCGUGGAAGGCUACAUCCUUGUUGCUGGUGAAGUGGAAGAAUGAAGAUCGAGAAAAAGCUGACUGGGCAUUCCUGUUGUUGCGGGAUGAGAGGUGACGUUUUUGCUUGGUGUGGGGUUGUGAGCUGUUGUAUUCCCUUCGCUAAUUUUGCAGGAUAUUUUACCCGUGCUCCAAGUUUGUCUGAUCUUGGAUUUGAUCAUUGCCAUGUCUAAUAGACGGUGAAAGACAUUUUUCGUGCAUGUGAAGGUCGUCUUGUGGUGUUCUUGGUAGAUCAUUUGAUACGUAUGUGCAGUUCCGUUAGAAUGCUGAUAUUGGCAGUUUGUUAGAUGAGUUUGAAGGAUUGGUCCUUCAAUUGUUCUGUUUCUAUCUCAUUGAUCAAAGGUCCUUAAAUUGUUCUGUUUCUAUCUUAUUGAUCAAACCACUUGAUGGUUCACAGCUGCAGAACAGUGGGACAAACUUGUAGGAUUAUUCGCUCCUUAGAUGAGUAUGUGUCUUCGCGUGAAUAGCAAGGGUUUGUCGUCUUGAAUGGUUUCAAAGGUGAAGGCGAAAGGAAGGAAUCUUCUAUUUGGGCAAAGCUUGAUGCCUUUUGAUCUCCGUCCAUACGUUCGACAUCUGCAGCAUUCGCGUGAAUAGUAAGGGUUUGUCAUCUUGAAUGGUCUCAAAGGUCCCGAAAGGAAGGAAUCUUCUAUUUGGGCAAAGCUUGAUGCCUUUUCGUCUCUGUCCAUACGUUCGGCAUCUGCAGCCAUGCUCUUUCCAAUGGCUAUGAAAAUACUGAUUUGCUGCAUGUUCAUAAGGUAUUUAUUAUUCUGGAUUUGGUUUGUGCCGUGAUCAGAGGUAAAUCGGUGAGGAAUUAUGUUGAGUAAUCGCCUUUAUUUUACAUGUAGUUUUUUAGGACCAACCGAUCUUACUCAUGAUGAAAAUUUGUGGGGUGGUGCUCGUA
Eucalyptus grandis is the source of this 8189-nucleotide long non-coding RNA. RefSeq lists it as uncharacterized. Lineage: Eukaryota; Viridiplantae; Streptophyta; Magnoliopsida; Myrtales; Myrtaceae. The transcript is spliced from 3 exons. The record is from RefSeq and is a predicted model, not a curated record.